GCGUUCAUAGCUCAGUUGGUUAGAGCACCACCUUAACAUGGUGGGGGUCGUUGGUUCGAGUCCAAUUGAACGCACCA
RNAcentral lists this transfer RNA (77 nucleotides) under Escherichia coli. RNAcentral describes it as "tRNA-Val". It matches the Rfam family "tRNA". From Rfam's summary of the family: Transfer RNA (tRNA) molecules are approximately 80 nucleotides in length. Their secondary structure includes four short double-helical elements and three loops (D, anti-codon, and T loops). The record is from RNAcentral. Lineage: Bacteria; Pseudomonadati; Pseudomonadota; Gammaproteobacteria; Enterobacterales; Enterobacteriaceae.